AGGACGAACGCUGGCGGCGCGCUUAACACAUGCAAGUCGAGCGAGAACCAUUCCUUCGGGAAUGGGGACAGCGGCGAACGGGUGAGUAACACGUGGGUAAUCUGCCCUCGAUUCCGGGAUAGCCCGGGGAAACCCGGAUUAAUACCGGAUAGCCUCUCGAGCUUUCGAGCUCUUGAGAAAGGUAGCUUCGGCCUCCGAUCGAGGAUGAGCCCGCGGCGGUAUUAGCUUGGUUGGUGGGUAAUCGGCCUACCAAGGCAACGAUCCGUAGCUGGUCUGAGAGGACGAUCAGCCACACGUGGGACUGACGACCACCGGCCCAGACCUCCGUACGGGGAGCCAGCAGGUGGGAAUCUGCGACGAAGU
This 363-nucleotide ribosomal RNA is filed under the name uncultured soil bacterium. RNAcentral's name for it is "bacterial SSU rRNA". It matches the Rfam family "Bacterial small subunit ribosomal RNA", at positions 26 to 374 of the family's 1533-position model. The record is from RNAcentral.